RNAcentral lists this ribosomal RNA (1176 nucleotides) under Trichomonas vaginalis. RNAcentral's name for it is "SSU rRNA". It matches the Rfam family "Eukaryotic small subunit ribosomal RNA", at positions 82 to 1460 of the family's 1831-position model. The record is from RNAcentral. Lineage: Eukaryota; Parabasalia; Trichomonadida; Trichomonadidae.
CGAAACUGCGAAUAGCUCAUUAAUACGCUCAGAAUCUAUUUGGCGGCGACCAACAGGUCUUAAAUGGAUAGCAGCAGCAACUCUGGUGCUAAUACAUGCGAUUGUUUCUCCAGAUGUGAAUUAUGGAGGAAAAGUUGACCUCAUCAGAGGCACGCCAUUCGACUGAGUGACCUAUCAGCUUGUACUUAGGGUCUUUACCUAGGUAGGCUAUCACGGGUAACGGGCGGUUACCGUCGGACUGCCGGAGAAGGCGCCUGAGAGAUAGCGACUAUAUCCACGGGUAGCAGCAGGCGCGAAACUUUCCCACUCGAGACUUUCGGAGGAGGUAAUGACCAGUUCCAUUGGUGCCUUUUGGUACUGUGGAUAGGGGUACGGUUUUCCACCGUACCGAAACCUAGCAGAGGGCCAGUCUGGUGCCAGCAGCUGCGGUAAUUCCAGCUCUGCGAGUUUGCUCCCAUAUUGUUGCAGUUAAAACGCCCGUAGUCUGAAUUGGCCAGCAAUGGUCGUACGUAUUUUUACGUUCACUGUGAACAAAUCAGGACGCUUAGAGUAUGGCCACAUGAAUGACUCAGCGCAGUAUGAAGUCUUUGUUUUCUUCCGAAAACAAGCUCAAUGAGAGCCAUCGGGGGUAGAUCUAUCUCAUGACGAGUGGUGGAAUACUUUGACUCAUGAGAGAGAAGCUGAGGCGAAGGCGUCUACCUAGAGGGUUUCUGUCGAUCAAGGGCGAGAGUAGGAGUAUCCAACAGGAUUAGAGACCCUGGUAGUUCCUACCUUAAACGAUGCCGACAGGAGUUUGUCAUUUGUUAAUGGCAGAAUCUUUGGAGAAAUCAUAGUUCUUGGGGCUCUGGGGGGAACUACGACCGCAAGGCUGAAACUUGAAGGAAUUGACGGAAGGGCACACCAGGGGUGGAGCCUGUGGCUUAAUUUGAAUCAACACGGGGGAAACUUACCAGGACCAGAUGUUUUUUAUGACUGACAGGGCUUCGGGUCUUUCAGGAUAUUGUUUUUGGUGGUGCAUGCCCGUUGGUGGUGCGUGGGUUGACCUGUCUAGCGUUGAUUCAGCUAACGAGCGAGAUUAUCGCCAAUUAUUUACUUUGCCGAAGUCCUCCGGUUAAAGUUCUAAUUGGGACUCCCUGGGAAUUUUAGCAGGGGGGAAGAAGGGUAGCAAUUAACAGG